Molecule: ribosomal RNA, 426 nt
Filed under: uncultured Actinomycetes bacterium
Lineage: Bacteria; Bacillati; Actinomycetota; Actinomycetes
Description: bacterial SSU rRNA
Rfam family: Bacterial small subunit ribosomal RNA
Source: RNAcentral
GCGGCCUAUCAGCUUGUUGGUGAGGUAAUGGCUCACCAAGGCAACGACGGGUAGCCGGCCUGAGAGGGCGACCGGCCACACUGGGACUGAGACACGGCCCAGACUCCUACGGGAGGCAGCAAUGGGGAAUAUUGGGCAAUGGAGGAAACUCUGACCCAGCGACGCCGCGUGCGGGAUGAAGGCCUUCGGGUUGUAAACCGCUUUCAGUAGGGAAGAAGCGAAAGUGACGGUACCUACAAAAGAAGCACCGGCUAACUAUGUGCCAGCAGCCGCGGUAAUACAUAGGGUGCAAGCGUUGUCCGGAAUUAUUGGGCGUAAAGAGCUCGUAGGUCGUUUGUUACGUCGGAUGUGAAAACCUGAGGCUCAACCUCAGGCCUGCAUUCGAUACGGGCAAACUAGAGUUUGGUAGGGGAGACUGGAAUUCCU